CACAAUGCACAGCGACAGAGGGUAUAUUUUUGGCACGUGACUUCCGCUCUGUCCUUCUCGCUCUUGAUCCUGUGAGGUGGCUUGCAUGUCGUACAAGUCGUGUUCUCGUUCAGCUGACUUCGGGAUGAAGGCCUCCCAGUGGAAUGAAAUCGGAGCCGUAGACGUGGGAUGAAACGAACAGUACUUUGUGUCCUUGGAAUUAGAAUUACUUUGCAACAUUUGGCUAUGUCGUGAUAUCAGCAAUGACUCUCGAUUGGAACUCAAGUGGUAAAUGCAGCAGUUGACUGGCUUUGGGCUGGCCCGACUUCAGUGACUUGGGCCCCUGAUGACGGAUUCCCUUUCAGUGAUUUGGGCUCCGUGUGGUGAUUGGAGACUUUCCAUACUUCACAGGCGACUUGGAUUGUGCUGGUUAUUUUUUAUUUUUUUGUCCUGUCAUUUUUUUUUUUACGAGUGUCUUGUAUCUGUUAAUUAAAUUGAAUGUGU
Long non-coding RNA from Hippocampus zosterae (dwarf seahorse), 483 nucleotides. RefSeq lists it as uncharacterized. The transcript is spliced from 6 exons. Lineage: Eukaryota; Metazoa; Chordata; Actinopteri; Syngnathiformes; Syngnathidae. The record is from RefSeq and is a predicted model, not a curated record.